GAUGAAGAACGUAGCGAAAUGCGAUAAGUAAUGUGAAUUGCAGAAUCCCGUGAACCAUCGAGUCUUUGAACGCAAGUUGCGCCCGAAGCCAUUAGGCCGAGGGCACGCCUGCCUGGGCGUCACACGUCGUUGCCCCCCCAUCUACUCCUUCGGGAUUGCGGGGGGCGGAUGAUGGCCUCCCGUGCGCCUCGUCGCGCGGUUGGCAUAAAUGCCAAGUCCUCGGCGACGCACGCCACGACAAUCGGUGGUUGCGAAACCUCGGUUGCCCGUCGUGUGCGGUCGUCGCGCAUCGAGGGCUCGAAAAAAUUGUCGGGCUCCGGCUCGGCUUUCAACGCGACCCCAGGUCAGGCGGGGUUACCCGCUGAAUUUAAGCAUAUCAAUAAGCGGAGGA
This 391-nucleotide unclassified non-coding RNA is filed under the name soil metagenome. RNAcentral's name for it is "partial contains 5.8S ribosomal RNA, internal transcribed spacer 2, and large subunit ribosomal RNA". The stretch from base 1 to 122 matches the Rfam family "5.8S ribosomal RNA", at positions 35 to 154 of the family's 154-position model. The record is from RNAcentral.